UACGAAGGCCCCGAGCGUUAUCCGGAUUUAUUGGGCGUAAAGCGUUCAACGGUGGCUCCGCACGUCUCCGGUUAAAUCUCAUGGCUCAACCAUGAAACUGCCGGUGAUACGACGGAGCUCGAGGACGGGAGAGGUACAUGGAAUUACCGGUGUAGCGGUAAAAUGCGUUAAUAUCGGUAAGAACACCAAUAGCGAAGGCAAUGUACUGGAACGAUCCUGACACUAAACGAACGAAAGCGUGGGGAGCGAAUGGG
RNAcentral lists this ribosomal RNA (254 nucleotides) under uncultured bacterium. RNAcentral's name for it is "partial 16S ribosomal RNA". It matches the Rfam family "Bacterial small subunit ribosomal RNA", at positions 524 to 776 of the family's 1533-position model. The record is from RNAcentral.